This 2599-nucleotide long non-coding RNA is filed under the name Salmo salar (Atlantic salmon). Its description in RNAcentral is "lncRNA (ENSSSAG00000096730.1)". Lineage: Eukaryota; Metazoa; Chordata; Actinopteri; Salmoniformes; Salmonidae. The record is from RNAcentral.
UCAGUUCCAGGAUCAGUUCCAGGGUCAGUUCCAGGGUCAGGGUAUGUUCCAGGGUCAGUUCCAGUUCCAGGGUCUUAUCCAGGGUCAGUUCCAGUUCCAGGAUCAGUUCCAGGGUCAGUUCCAGGGUCAGUUCCAGUUUCAGGGUCAGUUCCAGGUUCAGAUCCAGUUCCAGGGUCAGUUCCAGGGUCAGUUCCAGGAUCAUUUCUAGUUCCAUGGUCAGUUCCAGUUUCAGUUCCAGGAUCAGUUCCAGGGUCAGUUCCAGUGUCAGUUCCAGGAUCAGUUCCAGGGUCAGUUCCAGGGUCAGUUCCAGUUCCAGGGUCAGUUCCAGUUCCAGGGUCAGUUCCAGGGUCAGUUCCAGGGUCAGUUCCAGUUCCAGGGUCAGUUCCAGGGUCAGAUCCAGUUCCAGGGUCAGUUCCAGGGUCAGUUCCAGGAUCAUUUCUUGUUCCAGGGUCAGUUCCAGGUCAGUUCCAGGGUGAGUUCCAGUUUCAGGGUCAGUUCCGGUGUCAGAUCCAGUUCCAGGAUCAGUUCCAGGGUCAGUUCCAGGAUCAUGUCUUGUUCCAGGGUCAGUUCCAGGGUCAGUUUCAGGGUCAGUUCCAUGGUCAGUUCCAGUUUCAGUUCCAGGGUCAGUUCCAGGGUCAGUUCCAGGGUCAUUUCUUGUUCCAGUGUCAGUUCCAGGGUCAGUUCCAGGGUCAGUUCCAGGAUCAUUUCUUGUUCCAGGGUCAGUACCAGGGUCAGUUCCAGGGUCAGUUCCAGGGUCAGUUCCAGAAUCAGUUCCAGGGUCAGUUCCAGGGUCAGUUCCAGUUUCAGGGUGAGUUCCAGGAUCAGUUCCAGGAUCAGUUCCAGGGUCAGUUCCAGGAUCAUUUCCAGGAUCAGUUCCAGUUCCAGGGUCAGUUCCAGGACCAGUUCCAGGAUCAGUUCCAGUUCCAGGGUCAGUUCCAGGGUCAGUUCCAGGAUCAGUUCCAGGGUUCCAGGAUCAGAUAAUUCAUAAAUAUCCAAAUAACUUCACACAUCUUCAUUGGUAAGGGUUUAAACACUGUUUCCCAUGCUUGUUCAAUGAUCCAUAAACAAUUAAUGAACAUGCACCUGUGGAACGGUCGUUAAGACACUAACAGCUUACAGACGGUAGGCAAUUAAGGUCACAGGUAUGAAAACGUAGGACACUAAAGAGGCCUUUCUACUGACUCUGAAAAACACCAAAAGAAAGAUGCCCAGGGUCCCUGCUCAUCUGCGUGAACAUUCCUUAGGCAUGCUGCAAGGAGGCAUGAGGACUGUAGAUGUGGCCAGGGCAAUAAAUUGCAAUGUCUGUACUGUGAGACGCCUAAGACAGUGCUACAGGGAGACAGGACGGACAGCUGAUCGUCCUCGCAGUGGCAGACCACAUGUAACAACACAUGCACAGGAUCGGUACAUCCGAAUAUCACACCUGCGAGACAGGUACAGGAUGGCACCAACAACUGCACGAGUUACACCAGGAACACACAAUCCCUCCAUCAGUGCUCAGACUGUCCACAAUAGGCUGAGAGAGGCUGAACUGGGGGCUUGUAGGCCUGUUGUAAGGCAGGUCCUCACUACACAUCACCGGCAACAACGUCGCCUAUGGGCACAAACCCACACUUUUAAAAAAACUGAAUAAAAGUGCUCAAAAUAGCCCAUGUUAGCGUAUGUAGCUUAAGAAACAAGGUUAAUGAAAUGAAUAACUUGCUAGUAACAAAUGACAUUCAUAUUCUGACCAUCUCUGAAACUCACUAAGACAAUACCUUUGAUGAUACUGUGGUAGCAAUGCAAUGUUAUACAGAAAAGAUGGAAAUGUCAGUGGUGUUUAUAUUUAGAACCACAUUCCUGUAAAGAUUAGAGAGGAUCUCAUGUUAAAUCCUAUUGAAGUAAUAUGGCUACAGGUUCAUAUGCCUCACCUAAAGCCCAUUCUUGUGGGAAUCUGCUAUAGACAUUAUUUAUUUAGAAAUGUAUUUAUAAAACCCUCCUAGGGCUCACUCCCCCCAUCUGAGAUGUCUACUGCAGCCCUCAUCCUCCACAUACAACACCCAUUCUGCCAGUCACAUUCCAAAGCAUAUCCCUGGGUUGCUCGUCUUUUCAGUUUACUGGAGCUAGUGACUGGAACGAGCUGCAACAAACUCUCAAACUGGACAGUUUUAUCUCAAUCUCUUCAUUCAAAGAUUCAGUCAUGGACACUCUUACUGACAGUUGUGGCUGCUUUGCGUGAUGUACAGUUGUUGCUCCUUUAAAAGUUGUGUCAUACUGCAGCACACCGUGCGGGCUGCUGCAGCAAUCUGUGGCACAUUAUCUAAUUGUCAGCCAUUUUUUCUGUUAAUGCAAGUUAGUCCUAGUUUGACCACCAGAGGGCAUCUUUGAGAAGCAUUUGAUAGUCUUCCAUAUUGGCAUUACCAGAGAAUGUAAAACCUUUUUUGUAAUAACAUAGUAUAUGGGAUUGAUUUUAAGAAUUUUGGCUUAAUUAAUUUGAUUAAUACACUGCUCAAAAAAAUAAAGGGACACUUAAACAACACAUCCUAGAUCUGAAUGAAAGAAAUAAUUUUAUUAAAUACUUUUUUCUUUACAUAGUUGAAUGUGCUGACAACAAAAUCAC